This 332-nucleotide ribosomal RNA is filed under the name uncultured Bacillus sp. RNAcentral's name for it is "bacterial SSU rRNA". It matches the Rfam family "Bacterial small subunit ribosomal RNA", at positions 568 to 898 of the family's 1533-position model. Lineage: Bacteria; Bacillati; Bacillota; Bacilli; Caryophanales; Bacillaceae. The record is from RNAcentral.
CGCGCAGGCGGUCCUUUAAGUCUGAUGUGAAAGCCCACGGCUCAACCGUGGAGGGUCAUUGGAAACUGGGGGACUUGAGUGCAGAAGAGGAGAGCGGAAUUCCACGUGUAGCGGUGAAAUGCGUAGAGAUGUGGAGGAACACCAGUGGCGAAGGCGGCUCUCUGGUCUGUAACUGACGCUGAGGCGCGAAAGCGUGGGGAGCGAACAGGAUUAGAUACCCUGGUAGUCCACGCCGUAAACGAUGAGUGCUAAGUGUUAGAGGGUUUCCGCCCUUUAGUGCUGAAGUUAACGCAUUAAGCACUCCGCCUGGGGAGUACGGUCGCAAGACUGAA